RNAcentral lists this long non-coding RNA (581 nucleotides) under Equus asinus (donkey). Its description in RNAcentral is "lncRNA (ENSEASG00005025167.1)". The record is from RNAcentral. Lineage: Eukaryota; Metazoa; Chordata; Mammalia; Perissodactyla; Equidae.
AUGCUAACUUUGAAGAUAUCACGGAACUCUUCAGCCAAUCCUUCAACUUAAUGAAGAAAUGAUGAGAGGCCUAGAAAUAGUUCCCAUCAAUUCCCUCGUCAAGCAAAAGAAAAGGUCUCAGCUGAUUAUUUCAAACAAGAGUGGCAAAGAGUUGAGAAUUGCACUGGCUCCUCCUCCACUACUCCUUUCUCUAUUGCCAAACUGGGGCUUUCAUUCAGAGGCAGCAAAUUGAGCUAAUUGCCUCCACUACAAGCUUUGUGUGAUCCUGUUCCUUAUAGUGAGAAGACAGAGAAAUCUCCCAGUGGAUGGAAUGAGGAGUGAUAUCAGCAUCAUGACAGAGUGAACUUGCCCAGGGUUCUCUCCCCUCCAACAUACAAUGAAAAGGGACAACCAUACUCCAACAGAGGACAUCCUAACACAACGCAAAAAUAACAAAGAGACAUGCAGCCAUACGAUGGAGGGCAAAGAGGCUGGAGCACCCCUCAGAGGAGCUGAACAGGAGUGAACUUUAGCUGGAAAAGAGAGGACUUUAUAAAGAACCUACUAACUCCUCUAAAAUGUGCCCAAAUAAGACUUGUAUG